Long non-coding RNA from Chionomys nivalis (European snow vole), 1091 nucleotides. RefSeq lists it as uncharacterized. Lineage: Eukaryota; Metazoa; Chordata; Mammalia; Rodentia; Cricetidae. The record is from RefSeq and is a predicted model, not a curated record. The transcript is spliced from 3 exons.
GCACUUUUUUAAUGUUUGGUGAGGGACAAUCUCAGUUCUUUCUUCCAGAAGUAACGGGAAGACACUUUCCAUGUGUCAGAAGAAUUUGACACCUGUUGGGAGAGCUGAGCGCAGCUGUCCCCGCUGAGAGGUGUUGUAGUCCAGGGCUGGGUGAGCUGGCUCAGGACCCCAGUGAGGUUCCCUUAGAAGGUGAGGUCUGGUGUCACACAGCUGAGCUUUGUGAACAACCUUGAGGGUGGUUGACUGGCAUCCCUUCUUCCUACAAGGGGAACAAAGCAAAUGGGCUUGGGCCCGGAUUAACCCAUCAGGGGUCAAGCCUACUCCAAGGUCUGGCUUUUCUGUGGCCCUGGCUCCAAAUCAUCAGAUACUGGUCUUCGGAGGCCUGUGAUGAUGAUGAUGAUGAUGAGGAGGAGGAGGAGGAGGAGGAGAGCCUGGAGGGCUCAUCCUUUAGUGACUUACAUAUCUACGAUCCUGCCAGGAGUCGCUGGUUUGCAGCACAGCUAAAGGUAGCCUAGGCUCCUGAGAGUCUUCCAUAUUACCUGUCUGUCUCCUACCCACUCUCAAGCCUUGUUGCUUCCUUUUAAGGCCCAUGUACUCUUCUAUGUGGGUCCUGGGUGACUAGGCUUGUAGUCCCUGUUCUUUCUUGGUGUCUGAUGGAGGAAGGUCAUUGGUUAAAUAAUAAAGAAACUGCUUGGCCCUCAUAGGUUAGAACAUAGGUGGGUGGAAUAAACAGAACAGAAUGCGGGGAGGAAGAGGAAGUGAGUUCAGAUGCCAUUUCCUCUCCUCUCUGGGGCAGACGCGAUGCCGCUCCUCUCCAGAGCAGACACAAUGAAGCAAGCCGCCAGGUCGGACAUGCUGAAUCUUUCCCGGUAAGACUGAUGCUACACAGAUUAUUAGAGAUGGGUUGAGAGAAUUAGCCAGUAAGGGCUAGAGCUAAUGGGCCAAGCAGUAUUUAAAAGAAUACAGUUUGUGUGUUGUUAUUUUGGGGCAUGAGCUAGCUAGGCAACCAGGAGCUGGGGCGGCAGGAACACAGCCCGCAGCUCUCCCCAACAGGUGUCACCUACCACUCCUUGGCAGAACCGAGAUGUUGA